Molecule: small nucleolar RNA, 107 nt
Organism: Hibiscus syriacus
Lineage: Eukaryota; Viridiplantae; Streptophyta; Magnoliopsida; Malvales; Malvaceae
Source: RefSeq, a predicted model, not a curated record
AAGCCAUGCAUCUGGCAUUUACACAACAAUUCUUUGAAUCACUCUCAAACUUCAUACAAACUCUCAUUCUCUAAUUGCUUGAAAAAUGUGAUGUCAUUCCUCAGCUU